This 449-nucleotide ribosomal RNA is filed under the name uncultured bacterium. RNAcentral's name for it is "partial 16S ribosomal RNA". It matches the Rfam family "Bacterial small subunit ribosomal RNA", at positions 29 to 523 of the family's 1533-position model. The record is from RNAcentral.
AACGAACGCUGGCGGCAUGCCUAACACAUGCAGGUCGAACGAGAUCUUCGGGUCUAGUGGCGCACGGGUGCGUAACGCGUGGGAAUCUGCCCUAUGGUUCGUAAUAACAGUUGGAAACGACUGCUAAUACCGGAUGAUGACGAAAGUCCAAAGAUUUAUCGCCAGAGGAUGAGCCCGCGUAGGAUUCGCUAGUUGGUGUGGUAAAGGCGCACCAAGGCGACGAUCCUUAGCUGGUCUGAGAGGAUGAUCAGCCACAAGGGGACUGAGACACGGCCCAGACUCCUACGGGAGGCAGCAGUGGGGAAUAUUGGACAAUGGGCGAAAGCCUGAUCCAGCAAUGCCGCGUGAGUGAUGAAGGCCUUAGGGUUGUAAAGCUCUUUUACCCGGGAUGAUAAUGACAGUACCGGGAGAAUAAGCUCCGGCUAACUCCGUGCCAGCCGCCGCGGUAA